GAUCAUGGCUCAGAUUGAACGCUGGCGGCAUGCUUUACACAUGCAAGUCGAACGGUAACAGGUUAAGCUGACGAGUGGCGAACGGGUGAGUAAUGCAUCGGAACGUGCCCAGUCGUGGGGGAUAACGCAGCGAAAGCUGUGCUAAUACCGCAUACGAUCUAUGGAUGAAAGCGGGGGACCGUAAGGCCUCGCGCGAUUGGAGCGGCCGAUGUCAGAUUAGCUAGUUGGUGGGGUAAAGGCCCACCAAGGCGACGAUCUGUAGCUGGUCUGAGAGGACGACCAGCCACACUGGGACUGAGACACGGCCCAGACUCCUACGGGAGGCAGCAGUGGGGAAUUUUGGACAAUGGACGCAAGUCUGAUCCAGCCAUUCCGCGUGCAGGAUGAAGGCCCUCGGGUUGUAAACUGCUUUUGUACGGAACGAAAAGGUUUCUAUUAAUACCCUGUGCGGAUGACGGUACCGGCAUAAGAAGCACCGGCUAACUACGUG
This 490-nucleotide ribosomal RNA is filed under the name uncultured bacterium. RNAcentral describes it as "bacterial SSU rRNA". It matches the Rfam family "Bacterial small subunit ribosomal RNA", at positions 15 to 507 of the family's 1533-position model. The record is from RNAcentral.